UUUAAGAAAACAUAAUUAAAUAAUGUGUAUAGUUUCGACCUAUAUAAAGACAUAUAUAGGUGUCUCUUAAAU
RNAcentral lists this transfer RNA (72 nucleotides) under Acaciothrips ebneri. RNAcentral describes it as "tRNA-Arg". Lineage: Eukaryota; Metazoa; Arthropoda; Insecta; Thysanoptera; Phlaeothripidae. The record is from RNAcentral.